Molecule: long non-coding RNA, 885 nt
Organism: Drosophila albomicans
Lineage: Eukaryota; Metazoa; Arthropoda; Insecta; Diptera; Drosophilidae
Exons: 3
Source: RefSeq, a predicted model, not a curated record
UAAUUAUACAAUUGAUUGCUCUUCUUAAAUGUUGUGAUACUUCUUCUUCUCGUUGCCGGCGCCUGGCAACAAACGAAAUUUAAAAAGCGAAACCGAAAAAGAUCGAAAAUUGCAUAAGGGAGAAGACCUCAACUCACAUGCAUGCACUUACACACACACACAUAAACACAGAUGCAUUUGGUUCGUAAGUGUUUUUCAUGUUGUUUUCUGACUCGAUCCGGCAACGACAACGACAACAUCGCCCGCCAUGGCAACAAUAACAUUGUUAACUUUUAUAGCCGACGUUGACUACGACUUGUUGCACUCACACAUACACAAGCAUACGCACUUGCAUACAUGCGUAGACGGCCAUGCCCAAAAGCAAGUUGAACGAGCCAAAGCGCAUUUAAAGAGACUGAGCUUAAGAGCAAAGAGAGACAGAGAGAGAGUGUUCAAAUUGCGUCUCUGAAGAGCGCCCGCUGCUUAGGCCAACAACUUAUUGCUGCGUGCUCUUUGCAUUGUCUUUGGUCACGUCGUCCAGCAGCAACAACAACAACAGCAGCAGCAGCAGCAAGCCAUGGACCAAGUUUGAUAGGUCACGUAUGCGCAUAUGAUUAGUUGACCACUGAAAAAUCUUGUCCUGCUAUCGACUCACACACACACACACCACGCACCAAAUGUGGUGUAGUGUGCGUUAAUCUUCUUGUGGCAGCUAACCUUGGCCUAAAUGCUGGGCAUGACAGACAGUUGCUUGCUUGUUGACACAGACCGCAAACCGAAACCAGCUUAGCCCACAAACAGUUGCGAUGCAGCUUUAUGGCAGCUUAAAGCUCUGCUUAGCGAAGACAACAACCAUGCUGUUAAAGCACUGUUAAAAGUUGUAGCAAUUGAGAUUUGAAUUUACAU